CAUGCAUGUCUAAGUAUAAGCAACUAUACGGUGAAACUGCGAAUGGCUCAUUAAAUCAGUUAUCGUUUAUUUGAUAGUACCUUACUACAUGGAUAACCGUGGUAAUUCUAGAGCUAAUACAUGCUAAAAACCUCGACUUCGGAAGGGGUGUAUUUAUUAGAUAAAAAACCAAUGCCCUUCGGGGCUCCUGGUGAAUCAUAAUAACUUAACGAAUCGCAUGGCCUUGCGCCGGCGAUGGUUCAUUCAAAUUUCUGCCCUAUCAACUUUCGAUGGUAGGAUAGUGGCCUACCAUGGUAUCAACGGGUAACGGGGAAUUAGGGUUCGACUCCGGAGAGGGAGCCUGAGAAACGGCUACCACAUCCAAGGAAGGCAGCAGGCGCGCAAAUUACCCAAUCCCGACACGGGGAGGUAGUGACAAUAAAUACUGAUACAGGGCUCUUUUGGGUCUUGUAAUUGGAAUGAGUACAAUUUAAAUCCCUUAACGAGGAACAAUUGGAGGGCAAGUCUGGUGCCAGCAGCCGCGGUAAUUCCAGCUCCAAUAGCGUAUAUUAAAGUUGUUGCAGUUAAAAAGCUCGUAGUUGAACCUUGGGCCUGGCUGGCCGGUCCGCCUCACCGCGUGUACUGGUCCGGCCGGGCCUUUCCUUCUGGGGAACCUCAUGCCCUUCACUGGGCGUGUUGGGGAACCAGGACUUUUACUUUGAAAAAAUUAGAGUGUUCAAAGCAGGCCUUUGCUCGAAUACAUUAGCAUGGAAUAAUAGAAUAGGACGUGUGGUUCUAUUUUGUUGGUUUCUAGGACCGCCGUAAUGAUUAAUAGGGAUAGUCGGGGGCAUCAGUAUUCAAUCGUCAGAGGUGAAAUUCUUGGAUUGAUUGAAGACUAACUACUGCGAAAGCAUUUGCCAAGGAUGUUUUCAUUAAUCAGUGAACGAAAGUUAGGGGAUCGAAGACGAUCAGAUACCGUCGUAGUCUUAACCAUAAACUAUGCCGACUAGGGAUCGGACGGUGUAGUAUUUUGACCCGUCGGCACCUUACGAGAAAUCAAAGUUUUUGGGUUCUGGGGGGAGUAUGGUCGCAAGGCUGAAACUUAAAGAAAUU
RNAcentral lists this ribosomal RNA (1092 nucleotides) under Melomastia mastoidea. RNAcentral describes it as "SSU rRNA". It matches the Rfam family "Eukaryotic small subunit ribosomal RNA", at positions 50 to 1154 of the family's 1831-position model. Lineage: Eukaryota; Fungi; Ascomycota; Dothideomycetes; Pleurotremataceae. The record is from RNAcentral.